UUGAUUCAUUUCCUCCCGCUCUCGCGGGAAAAAGGCCACCACUCAGAAGAAAACGAUGCUGGAGAUGCAAGAGAGUUUGGGGGUUCCUGCGGCGGGCGCCGUGGUGUCCGGGCGCCCAGUAGAGGGCGCGCCGGGGCGAGUCCCGCCGAGGCAACGUUGCGGUAGAGGUUCACACUGGGGUUUGGGAGUUUAUAAACUCGGUAAUGAUCCCUCCGCUGGUUCACCAACGGAAA
Molecule: unclassified non-coding RNA, 233 nt
Filed under: uncultured fungus
Lineage: Eukaryota; Fungi
Description: sequence contains ITS1
Source: RNAcentral